UACGUAGGGUGCGAGCGUUGUCCGGAAUUAUUGGGCGUAAAGAGCUCGUAGGCGGUGUGUCACGUCGGCCGUGAAAACCUGCAGCUUAACUGUGGGCGUGCGGUCGAUACGGGCAUCACUGGAGUUCGGCAGGGGAGACUGGAAUUCCUGGUGUAGCGGUGAAAUGCGCAGAUAUCAGGAAGAACACCGGUGGCGAAGGCGGCUCUCUGGGCCUUACCUGACGCUGAGGAGCGAAAGCGUGGGUAGCGAACAGG
This 254-nucleotide ribosomal RNA is filed under the name uncultured bacterium. RNAcentral's name for it is "partial 16S ribosomal RNA". It matches the Rfam family "Bacterial small subunit ribosomal RNA", at positions 524 to 776 of the family's 1533-position model. The record is from RNAcentral.